RNAcentral lists this ribosomal RNA (468 nucleotides) under uncultured bacterium. RNAcentral describes it as "partial 16S ribosomal RNA". It matches the Rfam family "Bacterial small subunit ribosomal RNA", at positions 28 to 507 of the family's 1533-position model. The record is from RNAcentral.
GACGAACGCUGGCGGCGUGCUUAACACAUGCAAGUCGAACGGAAAGGCCCUGCUUUUGUGGGGUGCUCGAGUGGCGAACGGGUGAGUAACACGUGAGUAACCUGCCCUUGACUUUGGGAUAACUUCAGGAAACUGGGGCUAAUACCGGAUAGGAGCUCCUGCUGCAUGGUGGGGGUUGGAAAGUUUCGGCGGUUGGGGAUGGACUCGCGGCUUAUCAGCUUGUUGGUGGGGUAGUGGCUUACCAAGGCUUUGACGGGUAGCCGGCCUGAGAGGGUGACCGGCCACAUUGGGACUAAGAUACGGACCAGACUCCUACGGGGGGCAGCAGUGGGGAAUAUUGCACAAUGGGCGGAAGCCUGAUGCAGAAACGCCGCGUGCGGGAUGACGGCCUUCGGGUUGUAAACCGCUUUCGCCUGUGACGAAGCGUGAGUGACGGUAAUGGGUAAAGAAGCACCGGCUAACUACGUG